Molecule: long non-coding RNA, 1269 nt
Filed under: Equus asinus (donkey)
Lineage: Eukaryota; Metazoa; Chordata; Mammalia; Perissodactyla; Equidae
Description: lncRNA (ENSEASG00005025903.1)
Source: RNAcentral
AAACUGUGAAUAUGUCACCUUACCUGGCAAAUGCGACUUUGUGGGUGUAAAUUGAGUGGGGAAGAUUGAAUUAAAUUCAGUUGGAAGAUUAGUCUGGAUUUCCCAGGUGAGCCCAAUCUAAUCCCACAGGUUCUUAAUAGUGGAAAACCUUCCCCAGCUGUGGUCAGAGGGAGACGUUACUGGGGAAGAUUGGUUAGAGGGAUGCAGCGAUGCUGGCUUUGGAGAUGGAGAAAGGGCCGUCUCCGGAAGCUGGAAAGGCAAGGAAAUGAAUCCUUCCGCGGACCCUCCAGCAGGGGAGCAGCCCUGUUGACACCCUGAUUUUAGCCCUGGAAGACCUGUGUCAGACUUCUGACCUACAGAACUCUCAGACUCCAUGAGGAAGAGUGCAGGGGAGAGAAGAGGGAAGAGCAGACCGGAAGAGUUGCAGGUCCUUCUAGUUGUGGGAUGUGUGACGCUGCCUCAACGUGGCCUGACGAGCGGUGCCUUGUCCGCGCCCAGGAUCUGAACUCCGGGCCGCAGCAGUGGAGCGCAGGAACUUAACCACUUGGCCACGGAGCCGGCCCCUCUGGCCAUUCUUAAGGAGAUAUAUUUGCAGACUUGCAAGGAGUGCCUCACUUUGAGCACUUGUGUACACACUGCUCAGCAAACACCCACAACUGAUGAGCGUUUCUGAUGAAGAGCACAACUGGAGCAUUUUGGAGCAGACUGAGAACACUUUGCGUUUACAAUUAUAAUAAUUGACAACUCAAGAAAUAACUGGUCCAGUAUGAACACUGGCUCACGUGUGUGGACGGUAGAUGCAGAUCAGGGAUGCAGCAGGAUGAGAAGAGUGAAAAAGGAAAGAGAAGAGGAUCCUUUCUAGAAGGGUUCUAGAGAGGAGGAAUUGCCAGCUCAUAAAAAAAAACACAUGAUGCUCACUGUUUAUCUCUGUAGUUUGUGUACAUGUUUUUGCUUCUUGUAUUUACUGACACUGGUCAUUUUAUAAUAGGAGCUCUGUUUUUUACAAAUAGUCAUUUUGUGUUGCCUUUUAAAGUCCUCAGUUAAAAACACUAUGUCUGGUAUUGCUUGUGACUGGUAUUUGAGCCAGACAGGCCUCCCCAACAGACAACUGCAGAAAAAGGUGUAGAAGUAAGAUGUGGAUAAUAAUAAGCAUUGUGCAAGUAAUUAAAUAGUCUGUUCUUGUUUGGCUACAUGGAUUGUUUACAUAACAAAGUUUCACGCCAGCCUUCUUAGACUAAAUCUGCUUUUAUUUUUUGUCUCAGUAGAACA